ACGGGAGGCAGCAGUGGGGAAUAUUGCACAAUGGGGGAAACCCUGAUGCAGCGAUGCCGCGUGGAGGAAGAAGGUUUUCGGAUUGUAAACUCCUGUCUUAAAGGACGAUAAUGACGGUACUUUAGGAGGAAGCUCCGGCUAACUACGUGCCAGCAGCCGCGGUAAUACGUAGGGAGCGAGCGUUGUCCGGAAUUACUGGGUGUAAAGGGAGCGUAGGCGGGAUUGCAAGUCAGAUGUGAAAUACAGGGGCUCAACCUCUGGGCUGCAUUUGAAACUGUAGUUCUUGAGUGAAGUAGAGGUAAGCGGAAUUCCUGGUGUAGCGGUGAAAUGCGUAGAUAUCAGGAAGAACACCGAUGGCGAAGGCAGCUUGCUGGGGACUUAUCGACGCUCAUGCUCGAAAGUGCGGGUAGCAAACAGGAUUAGAUACCCUGGUA
RNAcentral lists this ribosomal RNA (434 nucleotides) under uncultured Ruminococcus sp. Its description in RNAcentral is "partial 16S ribosomal RNA". It matches the Rfam family "Bacterial small subunit ribosomal RNA", at positions 341 to 792 of the family's 1533-position model. The record is from RNAcentral. Lineage: Bacteria; Bacillati; Bacillota; Clostridia; Eubacteriales; Oscillospiraceae.